UUCUUAUCAAGAGAGAUGGAGGGAAUGGCCCGAAGAAGUCUCAGCAACCAGCCGAAAUGGGUCAGGUGCUAAAUCCAUCAAGCGUGAUGCUUGAAAGAUAAGGA
This is a regulatory RNA element of 104 nucleotides. It matches the Rfam family "SAM riboswitch aptamer (S box leader)". From Rfam's summary of the family: The SAM riboswitch is found upstream of a number of genes which code for proteins involved in methionine or cysteine biosynthesis in Gram-positive bacteria. The SAM riboswitch acts at the level of transcription termination control. The predicted structure consists of a complex stem-loop region followed by a single stem loop terminator region. The record is from Rfam.